GAUGAACGCUGGCGGCGUGCCUAAUACAUGCAGGUCGAGCGAACGGACGAGAAGCUUGCUUCUCUGAUGUUAGCGGCGGACGGGUGAGUAACACGUGGAUAACCUACCUAUAAGACUGGGAUAACUUCGGGAAACCGGAGCUAAUACCGGAUAAUAUUUUGAACCGCAUGGUUCAAAAGUGAAAGACGGUCUUGCUGUCACUUAUAGAUGGAUCCGCGCUGCAUUAGCUAGUUGGUAAGGUAACGGCUUACCAAGGCAACGAUGCAUAGCCGACCUGAGAGGGUGAUCAGCAACACUGGAACUGAGACACGGUCCAGACUCCUACGGGAGGCAGCAGUAGGGAAUCUUCCGCAAUGGGCGAAAGCCUGACGGAGCAACGCCGCGUGAGUGAUGAAGGUCUUCGGAUCGUAAAACUCUGUUAUUAGGGAAGAACAUAUGUGUAAGUAACUGUGCACAUCUUGACGGUACCUAAUCAGAAAGCCACGGCUAACUACGUG
This 497-nucleotide ribosomal RNA is filed under the name uncultured bacterium. RNAcentral describes it as "partial 16S ribosomal RNA". It matches the Rfam family "Bacterial small subunit ribosomal RNA", at positions 28 to 507 of the family's 1533-position model. The record is from RNAcentral.